CUCUUUUAACGAUAAUAAUAUUAUUUGUCAAAAGUAAUUACAUUAUUUUCUUACAAAUAUAGCAACACUGCGAAACAUCAUUUCGCUAUCCCUGCAGUAACAUUGUGUACGGUGCAAAAAGUCAGAAUCAACCAAUCAGGAGCUGGAACAUUCUGAUGUAAAAUUGGAACAAAAACGACCCCCUCUAUUGUCAUGUCUUGUCUCAGGACUAAAUGAAAUUUCCGGAAGAAUCGCUUUCCCUUCAUCUGUGAGUAUAAUCUGCAAUGUAUGGUAGAUUCCCGGGUUGAAGGAGAAAAAGUGCUGAAACCUCCGGACGACAGUCUAAUCGAAAGCUAUGUGCUCAAUAUUAUUGUUGGUUUGGGCAUGCUAUGCCAGAUGAUGUGAAAUUAUUCACUUAUGUUGUACUGCGACGCUCAGGUAUCCGAUGAGGACAACACAGGAAGCUUCUUUUUCAGUAGUUUUUAUUCUAGCAAUGACGGUUGCUCGGAGCUUUUGCUUUUAUUAAAAUCAUCCACAUUGGCUCAUUGAAAUACUGAAAGCCACUCAUGUGCAACCUCUUAUUGUGCAAUAAGCUAGAAGAGCGUUAACCAGGGAUGCCAAGUGUUUUUCCAGAAAAUCUGUAUUUUUUUUUGAAAAUGUCUGGAAUUGUCUGGAUGGGCUAUUUUUUAGGAAGCUCCAUCUAUGAGCUGUAUUUGUACAUUUUAUUGAUGGAAUAUGCUUGGUUGUCAUACAAAUAUGUCUCGACAUACUGAAAAUUCUAUAGUUGCGCUCCCUUUUAUAUUUCAAAUGCUUAAUUUUCAGCAUAGAGAAUCCGUGAAAUAGAUUGAAUUUGAAUUUCUAGGGAUUCAGCAUUUUGGAUUGCCGGAACAUCCAGCUGACGAAAAUUCGGAAAAUUUAGGUGACUUUCAGCGGAAAAACUUUGAUAUGUGGUGUUCCCAACUAUUUUCAAAUAGUGGUUUAAAAAUCAACGAAGCCUUCUUGUAUUUUAUUUAGUUAUUUUUCAUAUUGUCUGGAUAAAUUUGGACAAAAUCUCUGAAAUCUGGAUCAGACAAAAAUAAAUCUGUAUGUCUGGACGACGCUUAAAAAUCUGGAGGAAUCCAGAGAAAUCUGGAAGGUUGGCAUCCCUGGCGUUAACUUAGUGAAGCAAGUUGGUGUAUGUUUGGCUAACAAUUCUAUCACAUGGCAAAGCUGUGCUGGAAGUCGCCGAACCGAAUACUUGAAAAAUAAUGCAGGUGGCGGCAAAUUCGACAUGUAUAUCAGAAACCUUUCUUACAACAGAAUGAUUUGAUUAGACACGUGCUAUUCACUAGCUACACAGAAAAGUAUGGAUUUGCUUAUAAUCGCUCAAAGCUCUUUGCCUUCAGCGAUAUUGUUUCCGGCUGAUUUUGAUCGACCAUCAAAUGGAACACAUAAAUCAACGUUUGACACGCUUUUACGCGUGCGAAUUUCUCAGCUAACUGACAAAAUGCACAUAGUAUUUCCCGUUAUUGAACAAGCUGAUUAGCUUUGACUUGCUACACUUUCAAAAGCUCUUCCGUUAGGCCGUCCUAAUUGCGUGCUGGAUAUAUAGGUCAGUACCGGGUCUAGUUACGGUCACGCUCCACCAUACAUUUACAAACGCUUUUCAUGACCGGCAAUCAUUCGGGUCAGUACUCAAUCAACCAGAAACCGAUAGCGCAACCUCCGCACUACAAACUUUAUCAAACAUCAAAUUGAAACUAUAACUACACAAAACAGAAGAAGCUUGUUAAAUUCAAAACAUAACCGGUACGCUGAAUUUGGUGAUAGAUUGAUAUUUCAGGCGAAGUAUAUGACCCUGUGAAAAGAGGAUAACAUCGAUAGCAUGAGCGGAUCUCCAACUAACCAAUAAGCCAACGGACUACUACUGCACUCCAUUGGUACUCCUGGGAUGACUACUCAAGAUAAUCAGGUUCAUUCACAGUCAACAGGAUUGCCUGUUCAUCACGGUAGUAUUAGUGGCGGUUUAGGGGAACAAGGGGUAAUAUCGUCAUGUUAGGCACCCUUGUUUACGAAUAAAAUAUGAAUCAUUUUCGAUUUUUUUUGCCCAUCGUCGUUAGAAGAUGUGAUAUUUCAAUUAUUGAAUAUAACCAGUAUUUAGUCACAAAAAUACAAAAAUAUCGAGAUGACAAAAAACGAAAAGUGUUUGAAAUAAGAAUUCACAUAAUGUAUGCUUACCAUUCCUGGAAUAUUUUACCUAUUUUUAACUAAUUGUAUAUAAAAAAUCCUUUUCUGUGACAUGAUUUUUUGCUUCUCAAGCUCGUUCAUAUUGCCCCACAUGAAAUAGCAAACCAGAAGUCGGUAAUCGCAGCCAACGAUUAUUUUCAAAGAUUUGGUAAAUUCCUCAGCUUGUUUUAAUUUUUUAAUUGCGAAAAUAGCUGUGUAGUUGAAACUACGGAAAUUAUUGAAUCAAUGAUACAUAAAUUGGCUUGUCCUUGGUCAACAAAUGCUGAAUUCUCGUUUUCACAUAGCUCCAAAGAUGGAGUGGGGUAAUUUGUACCCCAGUGCAACGUUCUAUGGUUAAUUUACAGGUAGUUUUUGCUGUGAGAUUUGUUUUAUUGCAUUCAAUACAUGAAUUUCUGUUGCAGUUAACUCAAUGAGAAUUGAAGUGUUUAUCACAUACCUUUGGCUAGAUCUGAUGAUAAUCGAUGUAUAGCAUGAUGUAUAGCAAAGAGUGAUACUCUAUGGGCUAAUAUAUCAAAUCUAUACAUGCUGAUAGAAGGUUAUAUAUUCCUAACAUACAGUUAAAAAAGAUAUCCUUUAGGUUGCACGUGGAAGAUAUUUGUGUAUGCUCAAGGCAACGAUGUUUUGCUAAUCAUUUUAAUUACCAGUGGCACAUUUUCAAUAAGGGAGAGUGGAUAUAGAAGGACCACUAAGGACAUUAUUUGUGUUGUUAGCUCUUUCGGUGACCUAGCCUCACACGCAUUUACGAUAAUAUCAACACAACACACCCAAAAAUAAUCCAAAGUUUAGGGUCCCUAACAACCCGUGUUGAAGAAAUGGUUGAAAAAAUUGGAACGGGGCUUCACAGUUUAAAAUCAAAGUUUGUAUGGAGAACUAGGAAUGUUCAGUAGGGAACAUUUGAAGGAAAAUGGUCAUCUUAAAUUUUUGCAUGAAAUCAAAUAUAAUAUGUUUAUUAGGUACAUCGUAACUUUUUUGCUCAAUCGGAAAUCAUUAAGGGGUGCUACGUUCAAAAUUUCAAUUUUUAAUCUCUGAAAAAACCUCUGUAAAAUUUUAAAGAUCAAAAAUUCCGUCUCGAAGGAAAAAUGACAUUAAAUAGCACUUCCU
Long non-coding RNA from Topomyia yanbarensis, 3306 nucleotides. RefSeq lists it as uncharacterized. The record is from RefSeq and is a predicted model, not a curated record. Lineage: Eukaryota; Metazoa; Arthropoda; Insecta; Diptera; Culicidae. The transcript is spliced from 4 exons.